GACGAACGCUGGCGGCGUGCCUAAUACAUGCAAGUCGAACGCUGAAGGAGGAGCUUGCUUCUCUGGAUGAGUUGCGAACGGGUGAGUAACGCGUAGGUAACCUGCCUGGUAGCGGGGGAUAACUAUUGGAAACGAUAGCUAAUACCGCAUAAGAGUAGAUGUUGCAUGACAUUUGCUUAAAAGGUGCAAUUGCAUCACUACCAGAUGGACCUGCGUUGUAUUAGCUAGUUGGUGGGGUAACGGCUCACCAAGGCGACGAUACAUAGCCGACCUGAGAGGGGGAUCGGCCACACUGGGACUGAGACACGGCCCAGACUCCUACGGGAGGCAGCAGUAGGGAAUCUUCGGCAAUGGACGGAAGUCUGACCGAGCAACGCCGCGUGAGUGAAGAAGGUUUUCGGAUCGUAAAGCUCUGUUGUAAGGGAAGAACGAGUGUGAGAGUGGAAAGUUCACACUGUGACGGUAUCUUACCAGAAAGAGACGGCUAACUACGUG
RNAcentral lists this ribosomal RNA (495 nucleotides) under uncultured bacterium. RNAcentral describes it as "partial 16S ribosomal RNA". It matches the Rfam family "Bacterial small subunit ribosomal RNA", at positions 28 to 507 of the family's 1533-position model. The record is from RNAcentral.